AUUGAACGCUAGCGGGAUGCCUUACACAUGCAAGUCGAACGGCAGCACGGACUUCGGUCUGGUGGCGAGUGGCGAACGGGUGAGUAAUGUAUCGGAACGUGCCCAGUAGCGGGGGAUAACUACUCGAAAGAGUAGCUAAUACCGCAUACGCCCUACGGGGGAAAGGGGGGGUUCGCAAAACCUCUCACUAUUGGAUCGGCCGAUAUCGGAUUAGCUAGUUGGUGGGGUAAAGGCCCACCAAGGCGACGAUCCGUAGCUGGUUUGAGAGGGCGACCAGCCACACUGGGACUGAGACGCGGCCCAGACUCCUACGGGAGGCAGCAGUGGGGAAUUUUGGACAAUGGGGGCACCCCUGAUCCAGCCAUCCCGCGUGUGCGAUGAAGGCCUUCGGGUUGUAAAGCAAUUUUGGCAGGAAAGAAAUCGCACGGGCUAAUACCUCGUGUGGAUGACGGUACCUGCAGAAUAAGCACCGGCUAACUACGUGCCAGCCGCCGCCGUAA
This 500-nucleotide ribosomal RNA is filed under the name uncultured bacterium. RNAcentral's name for it is "partial 16S ribosomal RNA". It matches the Rfam family "Bacterial small subunit ribosomal RNA", at positions 30 to 523 of the family's 1533-position model. The record is from RNAcentral.